Unclassified non-coding RNA from Callithrix jacchus (white-tufted-ear marmoset), 148 nucleotides. It matches the Rfam family "Metazoan signal recognition particle RNA". From Rfam's summary of the family: The signal recognition particle (SRP) is a universally conserved ribonucleoprotein. It is involved in the co-translational targeting of proteins to membranes. The eukaryotic SRP consists of a 300-nucleotide 7S RNA and six proteins: SRPs 72, 68, 54, 19, 14, and 9. Lineage: Eukaryota; Metazoa; Chordata; Mammalia; Primates; Cebidae. The record is from Ensembl.
GCUGGGCAUAGUGGUGGGUGCCUGUUGUCCCAGCUUCUCAGGAGGCUGAGGUGGGAGGAUCACUUGAGCCCAGGAAGUAGAGGUUGCAGUGAGCUGAGAUUGCACCACUGCAUUCUAGCCUGGGCAACAGAGUGAGAUCCUGUCUCAA